This 611-nucleotide ribosomal RNA is filed under the name Naganishia albida. RNAcentral's name for it is "partial 26S ribosomal RNA". It matches the Rfam family "Eukaryotic large subunit ribosomal RNA", at positions 47 to 663 of the family's 3401-position model. The record is from RNAcentral. Lineage: Eukaryota; Fungi; Basidiomycota; Tremellomycetes; Filobasidiales; Filobasidiaceae.
UAAGCGGAGGAAAAGAAACUAACAAGGAUUCCCCUAGUAACGGCGAGUGAAGCGGGAAGAGCUCAAAUUUGAAAUCUGGUAGCCUUCGGUUGCCCGAGUUGUAAUCUAGAGAAGUGUUUUCCGUGCCGGCCCAUGUACAAGUCCCUUGGAACAGGGCGUCAUAGAGGGUGAGAAUCCCGUCCUUGACAUGGACCCCCGGUGCUUUGUGAUACACUUUCAACGAGUCGAGUUGUUUGGGAAUGCAGCUCAAAAUGGGUGGUGAAUUCCAUCUAAAGCUAAAUAUUGGCGAGAGACCGAUAGCGAACAAGUACCGUGAGGGAAAGAUGAAAAGCACUUUGGAAAGAGAGUUAAACAGUACGUGAAAUUGUUGAAAGGGAAACGAUUGAAGUCAGUCAUGCUCUUGGGACUUACCUCCCUUGAGUGGGGUCAACAUCAGUUUUGAUCGAUGGAUAAAGGCACGAGGAAGGUAGCACUCUCGGGUGAACUUAUAGCCUCGCGUCAUAUACAUUGAUUGGGACUGAGGAACGCAGCAUGCCUUUUGGCCGGGAUUCGUCCACGUACAUGCUUAGGAUGUUGACAUAAUGGCUUUAAACGACCCGUCUUGAAACACG